RNAcentral lists this unclassified non-coding RNA (299 nucleotides) under plant metagenome. RNAcentral describes it as "partial contains 5.8S ribosomal RNA, internal transcribed spacer 2, and large subunit ribosomal RNA". The stretch from base 1 to 105 matches the Rfam family "5.8S ribosomal RNA", at positions 50 to 154 of the family's 154-position model. The record is from RNAcentral.
GAAAUGCGAUAAGUAAUGUGAAUUGCAGAAUUCAGUGAAUCAUCGAAUCUUUGAACGCACAUUGCGCUCGCCAGUAUUCUGGCGAGCAUGCCUGUUCGAGCGUCAUUUCAACCAUCAAGCUCUGCUUGCGUUGGGGAUCCGCGGCUGCCCGCGGUCCCUCAAAAACAGUGCCGGGCUCGCUAGUCACACCGAGCGUAGUAACUCUACAUCGCUAUGGUCGUGCGGCGGGUUCUUGCCGUAAAACCCCCAAUUUCUAAGGUUGACCUCGGAUCAGGUAGGAAUACCCGCUGAACUUAAGC